Molecule: transfer RNA, 76 nt
Filed under: Verrucomicrobiota bacterium
Lineage: Bacteria; Pseudomonadati; Verrucomicrobiota
Also listed under: 1 other name
Description: tRNA-Ile
Rfam family: tRNA
About the family: Transfer RNA (tRNA) molecules are approximately 80 nucleotides in length. Their secondary structure includes four short double-helical elements and three loops (D, anti-codon, and T loops).
Source: RNAcentral
GGGCCCAUAGCUCAACGGUUAGAGCAGGAGACUCAUAAUCUCUUGGUUACAGGUUCGAAUCCUGUUGGGCCCACCA